RNAcentral lists this ribosomal RNA (249 nucleotides) under uncultured bacterium. RNAcentral's name for it is "partial 16S ribosomal RNA". It matches the Rfam family "Bacterial small subunit ribosomal RNA", at positions 796 to 1041 of the family's 1533-position model. The record is from RNAcentral.
CACGCCCUAAACGAUGUCAACUAGGUGUUGGGUGGGUAAAACCAUUUAGUACCGUAGCUAACGCGUGAAGUUGACCGCCUGGGGAGUACGGCCGCAAGGUUAAAACUCAAAGGAAUUGACGGGGACCCGCACAAGCGGUGGAUGAUGUGGAUUAAUUCGAUGCAACGCGAAAAACCUUACCUACCCUUGACAUGCCAGGAACUUGCCAGAGAUGGCUUGGUGCCCGAAAGGGAGCCUGGACACAGGUGC